Molecule: ribosomal RNA, 793 nt
Filed under: Protomyces gravidus
Lineage: Eukaryota; Fungi; Ascomycota; Taphrinomycetes; Taphrinales; Protomycetaceae
Description: bacterial SSU rRNA
Rfam family: Bacterial small subunit ribosomal RNA
Source: RNAcentral
AGAGUUUGAUCAUGGCUCAGGAUGAACGCUGGCGGCGUGCUUAACACAUGCAAGUCGAACGAAGCACUUUAGCUGAAGUUUUCGGAUGGAAGCUAGAUUGACUGAGUGGCGGACGGGUGAGUAACGCGUGGGUAACCUGCCUCAUACAGGGGGAUAACAGUUGGAAACGACUGCUAAUACCGCAUAAGCGCACAGGACCGCAUGGUCCAGUGUGAAAAACUCCGGUGGUAUGAGAUGGACCCGCGUCUGAUUAGCUAGUUGGUGGGGUAACGGCCCACCAAGGCGACGAUCAGUAGCCGACCUGAGAGGGUGACCGGCCACAUUGGGACUGAGACACGGCCCAAACUCCUACGGGAGGCAGCAGUGGGGAAUAUUGCACAAUGGGGGAAACCCUGAUGCAGCGACGCCGCGUGAGUGAAGAAGUAUUUCGGUAUGUAAAGCUCUAUCAGCAGGGAAGAAAAUGACGGUACCUGACUAAGAAGCCCCGGCUAACUACGUGCCAGCAGCCGCGGUAAUACGAAGGGGGCAAGCGUUAUCCGGAUUUACUGGGUGUAAAGGGAGCGUAGACGGCAGCACAAGUCUGGAGUGAAAUGCCGGGGCUUAACCCCGGAACUGCUUUGGAAACUGUGCAGCUAGAGUGCAGGAGAGGUAAGUGGAAUUCCUAGUGUAGCGGUGAAAUGCGUAGAUAUUAGGAGGAACACCAGUGGCGAAGGCGGCUUACUGGACUGUAACUGACGUUGAGGCUCGAAAGCGUGGGGAGCAAACAGGAUUAGAUACCCUGGUAGUCCACUCA